UCCGGGCAGGCGCGGACCGGGCUGGUGGCGCCGGCGGCUGGGGCUCUCGCCCCGGCUGUGGGGCCGGGAUCUCGCCGAGCCCUGGUCCCUGACGCUGACGCAGAAUGGACGACAGCCCCGGGCUCGACAGUGGAGUCCCGACUCUGGGCGGCGACCCGGACCGCGGCCUUCCGCCCACCUUCUCGGCGCCCCCUGCCGGCGGAAGCGGGUGUUCCCGCGUUCAGAAGGGAAGCAACCCUCUGCAACUCCGGAUUAUAAAACUCCAGUCUGGUCUCAAAUAUGUGCACUUCAGACGAGAAGUGCACGCUUGAAAACACCCCAGUCUUCACACGCUAUGAUGGGAGUGAGAGCCUCACCUGAAUUUUCCUCUCAGCUAAAGACGAAUUUAACACCUUGAAGACCUUACCUGUGCGUUUUACUGUACUCCUGAAUAGUUGUGGGACAGCUCGCUCGCGCUUGCGCUCUCUGUUUCUUUCUCUCUGCCUCCCCACCCCUUUAUAAUGAGAAUAAACUGAUUUUUGAAACUGUC
This is a long non-coding RNA of Octodon degus (degu), 529 nucleotides long. RefSeq lists it as uncharacterized. The record is from RefSeq and is a predicted model, not a curated record. NCBI's taxonomy places the organism in Eukaryota, Metazoa, Chordata, Mammalia, Rodentia, Octodontidae. The transcript has 2 exons.